CGGUGCCCGGCCGGGGGAGCGCGGCCCGAUCCGGGCCGUGGAUGGGAGCGCUCCCGUCCUGCCGGUGGCUCCGAUCGCCACCGGCGUCACC
This 91-nucleotide transfer RNA is filed under the name Saccharothrix algeriensis. RNAcentral's name for it is "tRNA-Asp". Lineage: Bacteria; Bacillati; Actinomycetota; Actinomycetes; Pseudonocardiales; Pseudonocardiaceae. RNAcentral also lists the same sequence under 1 other name. The record is from RNAcentral.